Molecule: ribosomal RNA, 1383 nt
Filed under: uncultured bacterium
Lineage: Bacteria
Description: bacterial SSU rRNA
Rfam family: Bacterial small subunit ribosomal RNA
Source: RNAcentral
AGAGUUUGAUCCUGGCUCAGGAUGAACGCUGGCGGCGUGCUUAACACAUGCAAGUCGAACGAUAGAAGAUCGGUGCUUGCCCUGAUCCUAUCGAGUGGCAGACGGGAGAGUAACGCGUGGGUAACCUGCCUCAUACGGGGAAAUAACAGGUGGAAACCGGUGCUAAAACCGCAUAAGCGCACAGUAUCGCGUGAUACAGUGAGAACAACUCCGGGGGUAUGAGAUGGACCCGCGUCUGAUUAGCUAGUUGGUGAGGUAACGGCCCACCAAGUCGACGAUCAGUAGCCGGACUGAGAGGUUGAACGGCCACAUUGGGACUGAGAUACGGCCCAGACUCCUACGGGAGGCAGCAGUGGGGAAUAUUGGGCAAUGGGGGAAACCCUGACCCAGCAACGCCGCGUGAAGGAAGAAGGCUUUCGGGUUGUAAACUUCUUUUACCAGGGACGAAGGACGUGACGGUACCUGGAGAAAAAGCCACGGCUAACUACGUGCCAGCAGCCGCGGUAAUACGUAGGUGGCAAGCGUUGUCCGGAUUUACUGGGUGUAAAGGGAGUGUAGGCGGAGAAGCAAGUCAGAAGUGAAAUCCAUGGGCUUAACCCAUGAACUGCUUUUGAAACUGUUUCCCUUGAGUAUCGGAGAGGCAGGCGGAAUUCCUAGUGUAGCGGUGAAAUGCGUAGAUAUUAGGAGGAACACCAGUGGCGAAGGCGGCCUGCUGGACGACAACUGACGCUGAGGCUCGAAAGCGUGGGGAGCAAACAGAAUUAGAUACCCUGGUAGUCCCCGCUGCACACGAUGAAUACAAGGUGUGGGAGGAUUGACGCCUUCCGUGCUGCAGCAAGCGCAAUACGUAGUCCGCCUGGCGAGUACGUUCGCAAGAAUCAAACUCAAAGGACUUGACGGGGACCCGCACAAGCGGCAGACCAUGUGGUAUAAUUCGAAGCAACGCGCAGAGCGUUGCCCGCUCUCGACAUCUCCCUUCCCGGCAAGUACUGUUGCCUUUCCUUCGCGACAGGGAUGACAGGUCGUGCAUGGCAGUCGUCAGCUCGUGUCGUGUGAUGUUGGGUUAAGUCCCGCCACGAGCGCAGCCCCUAUCUUUAGUAGCCAGCGGUCAGACCGGGCACUCUACAGAGACUCCCAGGGAUAACCUGGAGGAAGGUGGGGAGGACGUCAAAUCAUCAUGCCCCUUAUGAGCAGGGCUCCCCACGUGCUCCAAUGGGGUAAACAAAGGGAGGCAGAACCGCGAGGUCGAGCAAAUCCCAAAAACAACGUCUCAGUUCGGAUUGCAGUCUGCAACUCGCCUACAUGAAGUCGGAAUCGCUAGUAAUCGCGAAUCAGCAUGUCGCGGUGAAUACGUUCCUCGGGCCUUGCACACACCGCCCGUCA